RNAcentral lists this long non-coding RNA (806 nucleotides) under Marmota monax (woodchuck). Lineage: Eukaryota; Metazoa; Chordata; Mammalia; Rodentia; Sciuridae. The record is from RNAcentral.
AUGGUUAUAAAGAAAUGAAAUUAAGCUGGGGUUGUGGCUCAGAGGGAGAGCACUUGCCUACCAUGAGUGAGGCACUGGGUUCGAUCCUCAGCACCACAUAAAAAUAAAAAUGAAGAUAUUGUGUCCACCUAUAACUAAAACAUAAAUAUUUUUUUAAAAAGAAGAAAUGAAAUCUAAACAGUUCAAAAGUAUAGAUAAUAAAAAGUAAGCUUCCCUGCCAUUCUGGAUUGUUUGUACCCUCCCCAGAGGCAACCACUAUUUAAUUUCUUAUAUAUUCUUCUGGAUAUAUAUAUUUCAUAAGAAUAUAUACUACUUAAGGGCUGAGGUUGUGGCUCAAUGGUAGAGUGCUCACCUAGCACACUAGAGGCCCUGGGUUUGAUCCUCAGCACCACAUAGAAAUGAAAUAAAGAUAUUGUGUCCACCUAAAACUAAAAAAUAAACAUUAAAAUAAAGAAUAUAUACUAUUUAAACCUCUUUCCACUGGUAUUUAUAAACAUAUAUCUUGUUAUUUCUUAUGACUGCAUAGUAUUCUACUGUAUAAAUAUAAUUAGUUUAACUGGUCCCUAAUGAUGGUAUUCUGGUUUUUGCUAUUACAAGUAUUUUUGAAUGAACAUUCCAUAAUACAUAUAUUAUUCCUUGUGUGUGAGAGUGUAUAUGUAGAGUAAAUUCCUAGCAGUGGAGUUGUGGGGCUGUGUAAUUGAUAAAGUACUCUUCAUUAUUGAUCAAGUGGCAGAGGUUUACACUCUUACCACAAGUAUGUGGGAGUACUUUGCACAGUUGUUGAGGUGGAAGCUAAGGAGAAAUAG